GACGAACGCUGGCGGCGUGCUUAACACAUGCAAGUCGAACGGAAAGGCCCUGCUUUUGUGGGGUGCUCGAGUGGCGAACGGGUGAGUAACACGUGAGUAACCUGCCCUUGACUUUGGGAUAACUUCAGGAAACUGGGGCUAAUACCGGAUAGGAGCUCCUGCUGCAUGGUGGGGGUUGGAAAGUUUCGGCGGUUGGGGAUGGACUCGCGGCUUAUCAGCUUGUUUGUGGGGUAGUGGCUUACCAAGGGUUUGACGGGUAGCCGGCCUGAGAGGGUGACCGGCCACAUUGGGACUGAGAUACGGCCCAGACUCCUACGGGAGGCAGCAGUGGGGAAUAUUGCACAAUGGGCGGAAGCCUGAUGCAGCAACGCCGCGUGCGGGAUGACGGCCUUCGGGUUGUAAACCGCUUUCGACUGUGACGAAGCGUGAGUGACGGUAAUGGGUAAAGAAGCACCGGCUAACUACGUG
RNAcentral lists this ribosomal RNA (468 nucleotides) under uncultured bacterium. RNAcentral's name for it is "partial 16S ribosomal RNA". It matches the Rfam family "Bacterial small subunit ribosomal RNA", at positions 28 to 507 of the family's 1533-position model. The record is from RNAcentral.